AUACGGAGGGUCCAAGCGUUGUUCGGAAUUAUUGGGCGUAAAGCGGGUGUAGGCGGUCGAUUAAGUCGGAUGUGAAAUCCCUGGGCUCAACCCAGGAACUGCAUUCGAAACUGGUCGACUAGAGUCUCGGAGAGGGUGGCGGAAUUCCCGGUGUAGAGGUGAAAUUCGUAGAUAUCGGGAGGAACACCAGUGGCGAAGGCGGCCACCUGGACGAUGACUGACGCUCCUGCCCGAAAGCGUGGGGAGCAAACAGGAGUAGAAACCCCGGUAGUCC
RNAcentral lists this ribosomal RNA (274 nucleotides) under uncultured bacterium. RNAcentral describes it as "partial 16S ribosomal RNA". It matches the Rfam family "Bacterial small subunit ribosomal RNA", at positions 523 to 796 of the family's 1533-position model. The record is from RNAcentral.